Molecule: ribosomal RNA, 253 nt
Filed under: uncultured bacterium
Lineage: Bacteria
Description: partial 16S ribosomal RNA
Rfam family: Bacterial small subunit ribosomal RNA
Source: RNAcentral
UACGGAGGGUGCAAGCGUUGUUCGGAAUUAUUGGGCGUAAAGGGCGUGUAGGUGGCUCGACAAGUCUGGUGUGAAAGCCCACGGCUCAACCGUGGAACUGCAUUGGAAACUGCUGGGCUCGAGUGUUGGAGGGGGUCGCGGAAUUCCCGGUGUAGAGGUGAAAUUCGUAGAUAUCGGGAGGAACACCAGUGGCGAAGGCGGCGACCUGGCCAAUCACUGACACUGAGACGCGAAAGCGUGGGGAGCAAACAGG